RNAcentral lists this ribosomal RNA (1308 nucleotides) under Bacillus inaquosorum. Its description in RNAcentral is "bacterial SSU rRNA". It matches the Rfam family "Bacterial small subunit ribosomal RNA", at positions 56 to 1350 of the family's 1533-position model. The record is from RNAcentral. Lineage: Bacteria; Bacillati; Bacillota; Bacilli; Caryophanales; Bacillaceae.
UGCAAGUCGAGCGGACAGAUGGGAGCUUGCUCCCUGAUGUUAGCGGCGGAGGGGAGUGACACGUGGGUAACCUGCCUGUAAGACUGGGAUAACCCGGGAAACCGGGGCUAAUACCGGAUGCUUGUUUGAACCGCAUGGUUCAAACAUAAAAGGUGGCUUCGGCUACCACUUACAGAUGGACCCGCGGCGCAUUAGCUAGUUGGUGAGGUAACGGCUCACCAAGGCAACGAUGCGUAGCCGACCUGAGAGGGUGAUCGGCCACACUGGGACUGAGACACGGCCCAGACUCCUACGGGAGGCAGCAGUAGGGAAUCUUCCGCAAUGGACGAAAGUCUGACGGAGCAACGCCGCGUGAGUGAUGAAGGUUUUCGGAUCGUAAAGCUCUGUUGUUAGGGAAGAACAAGUACCGUUCGAAUAGGGCGGUACCUUGACGGUACCUAACCAGAAAGCCACGGCUAACUACGUGCCAGCAGCCGCGGUAAUACGUAGGUGGCAAGCGUUGUCCGGAAUUAUUGGGCGUAAAGGGCUCGCAGGCGGUUUCUUAAGUCUGAUGUGAAAGCCCCCGGCUCAACCGGGGAGGGUCAUUGGAAACUGGGGAACUUGAGUGCAGAAGAGGAGAGUGGAAUUCCACGUGUAGCGGUGAAAUGCGUAGAGAUGUGGAGGAACACCAGUGGCGAAGGCGACUCUCUGGUCUGUAACUGACGCUGAGGAGCGAAAGCGUGGGGAGCGAACAGGAUUAGAUACCCUGGUAGUCCACGCCGUAAACGAUGAGUGCUAAGUGUUAGGGGGUUUCCGCCCCUUAGUGCUGCAGCUAACGCAUUAAGCACUCCGCCUGGGGAGUACGGUCGCAAGACUGAAACUCAAAGGAAUUGACGGGGGCCCGCACAAGCGGUGGAGCAUGUGGUUUAAUUCGAAGCAACGCGAAGAACCUUACCAGGUCUUGACAUCCUCUGACAAUCCUAGAGAUAGGACGUCCCCUUCGGGGGCAGAGUGACAGGUGGUGCAUGGUUGUCGUCAGCUCGUGUCGUGAGAUGUUGGGUUAAGUCCCGCAACGAGCGCAACCCUUGAUCUUAGUUGCCAGCAUUCAGUUGGGCACUCUAAGGUGACUGCCGGUGACAAACCGGAGGAAGGUGGGGAUGACGUCAAAUCAUCAUGCCCCUUAUGACCUGGGCUACACACGUGCUACAAUGGACAGAACAAAGGGCAGCGAAACCGCGAGGUUAAGCCAAUCCCACAAAUCUGUUCUCAGUUCGGAUCGCAGUCUGCAACUCGACUGCGUGAAGCUGGAAUCGCUAGUAAUCGCGGAUC